Molecule: ribosomal RNA, 417 nt
Filed under: uncultured bacterium
Lineage: Bacteria
Description: bacterial SSU rRNA
Rfam family: Bacterial small subunit ribosomal RNA
Source: RNAcentral
UGGGGAAUAUUGCACAAUGGGCGGAAGCCUGAUGCAGCGACGCCGCGUGAGGGAUGACGGCCUUCGGGUUGUAAACCUCUUCAGCAGGACGAAGCGCAAGUGACGGUACCUGCAGAAGAGGCGCCGGCCAACUACGUGCCAGCAGCCGCGGUAAGACGUAGGGCGCGAGCGUUGUCCGGAUUUAUUGGGCGUAAAGAGCUCGUAGGCGGCUUGUCGCGUCGACUGUGAAAACCCGCGGCUCAACCGCGGGCCUGCAGCCGAUACGGGCAGGCUAGAGUUCGGUAGGGGAGACUGGAAUUCCUGGUGUAGCGGUGAAAUGCGCAGAUAUCAGGAGGAACACCGGUGGCGAAGGCGGGUCUCUGGGCCGAUACUGACGCUGAGGAGCGAAAGCGUGGGGAGCGAACAGGAUUAGAUACC